This 25-nucleotide non-coding RNA is filed under the name Cricetulus griseus (Chinese hamster). The record is from RNAcentral. Lineage: Eukaryota; Metazoa; Chordata; Mammalia; Rodentia; Cricetidae.
CGGCUCUAGAUUCGCGUGAGAUAGU